RNAcentral lists this ribosomal RNA (440 nucleotides) under uncultured bacterium. Its description in RNAcentral is "partial 16S ribosomal RNA". It matches the Rfam family "Bacterial small subunit ribosomal RNA", at positions 338 to 795 of the family's 1533-position model. The record is from RNAcentral.
CCUACGGGUGGCAGCAGUAGGGAAUUUUGCGCAAUGGGCGAAAGCCUGACGCAGCAACGCCGCGUGAUCGAGACGCCCUUCGGGGUGUAAAGAUCUGUCAGUGGGGACGAAACUUGACGGUACCCACAGAGGAAGCACCGGCUAACUCCGUGCCAGCAGCCGCGGUAAUACGGGGGGUGCAAGGGUUGUCCGGAAUCAUUGGGCGUAAAGAGUUCGAAGGCGGCACGGAAAGUCUGGGGUGAAAGGCAGGGGCUCAACGUCUGUACGGCACUUGAAACUGUCGAGCUGGAAUGGGGGAGAGGAUAAGGGAAGUCCUGGUGUAGCAGUGAAAUGCUUAGAUAUCAGGAGGAACAUCAGUGGCGUAGGCGCUUUACUGGGCCGUAAUUGACGCUGAGGAACGAAAGCCAGGGUAGCAAAUGGGAUUAGAUACCCGAGUAGUC